AUACCGCGUGUGUGAAGAAGGCCUUCGGGUUGUAAAGCACUUUAAGCAGGGAGAAAAAGUUAUAAGUUAAUACCUUAUAACCCUGAUGUUACCUGCAGAAUAAGCACCGGCUAAUUCCGUGCCAGCAGCCGCGGUAAUACGGAAGGUGCAAGCGUUAAUCGGAAUUACUGGGCGUAAAGCGCGCGUAGGUGGUUUGUUGAGUUGGAUGUGAAAGCCCUGGGCUCAACCUAGGAACUGCAUCCAAAACUAACUCACUAGAGUACGAUAGAGGGAGGUAGAAUUCAUAGUGUAGCGGUGGAAUGCGCAGAUAUUAUGAAGAAUACCAGUGGCGAAGGCGGCCUCCUGGAUCUGUACUGACACUGAGGUGCGAAAGCGUGGGUAGCGAACAGGAUUAGAUACCCUGGUAGUCCACGCCGUAAACGAUGUCAACUAGCUGUUGGAAAACUAUGUUUUUCAGUGGCGCAGCUAACGUAGUAAGUUGACCGCCUGGGGAGUACGGCCGCAAGGCUAAAACUCAAAUGAAUUGACGGGGACCCGCACAAGCGGUGGAGCAUGUGGUUUAAUUCGAUGCAACGCGAAAAACCUUACCUAUACUUGACAUACUUGGAAUGCUUUGUAAUGAAGCAGUGCCCUCGGGAGCCAAGAUACAGGUGCUGCAUGGCUGUCGUCAGCUCGUGUCGUGAGAUGUUCCGUUAAGUCGGAUAACGAGCGCAACCCUUACCCUUAUUUGCC
Molecule: ribosomal RNA, 732 nt
Filed under: uncultured SAR86 cluster bacterium
Lineage: Bacteria; Pseudomonadati; Pseudomonadota; Gammaproteobacteria
Description: bacterial SSU rRNA
Rfam family: Bacterial small subunit ribosomal RNA
Source: RNAcentral